This 471-nucleotide ribosomal RNA is filed under the name Triticum aestivum (bread wheat). RNAcentral describes it as "partial small subunit ribosomal RNA". The record is from RNAcentral. Lineage: Eukaryota; Viridiplantae; Streptophyta; Magnoliopsida; Poales; Poaceae.
AUGGGCGCCUCCGCCUCCGUCCUAUCUCUUCCCGUGGCCGCCUCCUUCCCUGGCGCGGCCACCGCUAUCGCGGGCGCCGCCGGCUGCUUCGCGCUCGGCUACUUCCUCGCCCUCGCCCGCCUCCCCAUCCACGCCGCCGCCGCCCCCGACUCCGGCGACGACGAUUCCGAGGACGACUCGGACGAAGAUGAUGACGAAAAUUCCGGCCGCGCCCGGCCGGCGAAGCGAGCCGCCGGGCGGAAGCGGACCGGGCUCAGGCUGCUGUUCUGGUCCCGGAACGUGGUGACCAAGUCCGACUCCGCCAGGGAAGCCGAGAGGGCGCAGGUCCAGACCGCCGCCGCCCCCCUGGAGAUCGAGAACCUCGCCAAGAUAAUAGAGGAUUUCAAGAUGGUGCAGGUGCAGGUGAGAAACGACCUGAAGAUGGGAAAGGGGAAAAUCGCUGCGCAAUGCAGGGACCAGGGCAGGAAUUAA